Molecule: transfer RNA, 73 nt
Filed under: Megalops atlanticus (tarpon)
Lineage: Eukaryota; Metazoa; Chordata; Actinopteri; Elopiformes; Megalopidae
Rfam family: tRNA
About the family: Transfer RNA (tRNA) molecules are approximately 80 nucleotides in length.
Source: Rfam by way of RNAcentral
GUUUCUGUAGUGUAGCGGUCAUCACGUUUGCCUAACACGCAAAAAGUCCUCGGUUCGAAACCGAGCAGAAACA